UUAAGCGACUAAGCGUACACGGUGGAUGCCCUGGCAGUCAGAGGCGAUGAAGGACGUGCUAAUCUGCGAAAAGCGUCGGUAAGGUGAUAUGAACCGUUAUAGCCGGCGAUGUCCGAAUGGGGAAACCCAGUGCAAUUCGUUGCACUAUCGUUAACUGAAUACAUAGGUUAACGAGGCGAACCGGGGGAACUGAAACAUCUAAGUACCCCGAGGAAAAGAAAUCAACCGAGAUUCCCCCAGUAGCGGCGAGCGAACGGGGAGCAGCCCAGAGUCUGAAUCAGCUUGUGUGUUAGUGGAACGGUCUGGAAAGUCCGACGGUACAGGGUGAUAGUCCCGUACACCAAAAUGCACAGGCUGUGAACUCGAAGAGUAGGGCGGGACACGUGGUAUCCUGUCUGAAUAUGGGGGGACCAUCCUCCAAGGCUAAAUACUCCUGACUGACCGAUAGUGAACCAGUACCGUGAGGGAAAGGCGAAAAGAACCCCGGCGAGGGGAGUGAAAAAGAACCUGAAACCGUGUACGUACAAGCAGUGGGAGCACCUUCGGGUGUGACUGCGUACCUUUUGUAUAAUGGGUCAGCGACUUAUAUUCUGUAGCAAGGUUAACCGUAUAGGGGAGCCGCAGGGAAACCGAGUCUUAACUGGGCGUUAAGUUGCAGGGUAUAGACCCGAAACCCGGUGAUCUAGCCAUGGGCAGGUUGAAGGUUGGGUAACACUAACUGGAGGACCGAACCGACUAAUGUUGAAAAAUUAGCGGAUGACUUGUGGCUGGGGGUGAAAGGCCAAUCAAACCGGGAGAUAGCUGGUUCUCCCCGAAAGCUAUUUAGGUAGCGCCUCGUGAACUCAUCUUCGGGGGUAGAGCACUGUUUCGGCUAGGGGGUCAUCCCGACUUACCAACCCGAUGCAAACUACGAAUACCGAAGAAUGUUAUCACGGGAGACACACGGCGGGUGCUAACGUCCGUCGUGAAGAGGGAAACAACCCAGACCGCCAGCUAAGGUCCCAAAGUCAUGGUUAAGUGGGAAACGAUGUGGGAAGGCACAGACAGCCAGGAUGUUGGCUUAGAAGCAGCCAUCAUUUAAAGAAAGCGUAAUAGCUCACUGGUCGAGUCGGCCUGCGCGGAAGAUGUAACGGGGCUAAACCAUGCACCGAAGCUGCGGCAGCGACACUAUGUGUUGUUGGGUAGGGGAGCGUUCUGUAAGCCUGCGAAGGUGUGCUGUGAGGCAUGCUGGAGGUAUCAGAAGUGCGAAUGCUGACAUAAGUAACGAUAAAGCGGGUGAAAAGCCCGCUCGCCGGAAGACCAAGGGUUCCUGUCCAACGUUAAUCGGGGCAGGGUGAGUCGACCCCUAAGGCGAGGCCGAAAGGCGUAGUCGAUGGGAAACAGGUUAAUAUUCCUGUACUUGGUGUUACUGCGAAGGGGGGACGGAGAAGGCUAUGUUAGCCGGGCGACGGUUGUCCCGGUUUAAGCAUGUAGGCUGAUUGUCCAGGCAAAUCCGGAUAAUCAAGGCUGAGGUGUGAUGACGAGGCACUACGGUGCUGAAGUAACAAAUGCCCUGCUUCCAGGAAAAGCCUCUAAGCAUCAGGUAACAUUAAAUCGUACCCCAAACCGACACAGGUGGUCAGGUAGAGAAUACCAAGGCGCUUGAGAGAACUCGGGUGAAGGAACUAGGCAAAAUGGUGCCGUAACUUCGGGAGAAGGCACGCUGGUGUGUAGGUGAAGNUGGAGCUGAGACCAGUCGAAGAUACCAGCUGGCUGCAACUGUUUAUUAAAAACACAGCACUGUGCAAACACGAAAGUGGACGUAUACGGUGUGACGCCUGCCCGGUGCCGGAAGGUUAAUUGAUGGGGUUAUCCGUAAGGAGAAGCUCUUGAUCGAAGCCCCGGUAAACGGCGGCCGUAACUAUAACGGUCCUAAGGUAGCGAAAUUCCUUGUCGGGUAAGUUCCGACCUGCACGAAUGGCGUAAUGAUGGCCAGGCUGUCUCCACCCGAGACUCAGUGAAAUUGAACUCGCUGUGAAGAUGCAGUGUACCCGCGGCAAGACGGAAAGACCCCGUGAACCUUUACUAUAGCUUGACACUGAACAUUGAGCCUUGAUGUGUAGGAUAGGUGGGAGGCUUUGAAGCGUGGACGCCAGUCUGCGUGGAGCCAACCUUGAAAUACCACCCUUUAAUGUUUGAUGUUCUAACGUUGGCCCCUNACCGGGGUUGCGGACAGUGUCUGGUGGGUAGUUUGACUGGGGCGGUCUCCUCCCAAAGCGUAACGGAGGAGCACGAAGGUUAGCUAAUCCUGGUCGGACAUCAGGAGGUUAGUGCAAUGGCAUAAGCUAGCUUGACUGCGAGCGUGACGGCGCGAGCAGGUGCGAAAGCAGGUCAUAGUGAUCCGGUGGUUCUGAAUGGAAGGGCCAUCGCUCAACGGAUAAAAGGUACUCCGGGGAUAACAGGCUGAUACCGCCCAAGAGUUCAUAUCGACGGCGGUGUUUGGCACCUCGAUGUCGGCUCAUCACAUCCUGGGGCUGAAGUAGGUCCCAAGGGUAUGGCUGUUCGCCAUUUAAAGUGGUACGCGAGCUGGGUUUAGAACGUCGUGAGACAGUUCGGUCCCUAUCUGCCGUGGGCGCUGGAGAAUUGAGGGGGGCUGCUCCUAGUACGAGAGGACCGGAGUGGACGCAUCACUGGUGUUCGGGUUGUCAUGCCAAUGGCACUGCCCGGUAGCUAAAUGCGGAAGAGAUAAGUGCUGAAAGCAUCUAAGCACGAAACUUGCCCCGAGAUGAGUUCUCCCUGAGACUUUAAGUCUCCUGAAGGAACGUUAAAGACGAUGACGUUGAUAGGCCGGGUGUGUAAGCGCAGCGAUGCGUUGAGCUAACCGGUACUAAUGAACCGUGAGGCUUAACCUU
This 2891-nucleotide ribosomal RNA is filed under the name Klebsiella pneumoniae. Its description in RNAcentral is "23S ribosomal RNA". It matches the Rfam family "Bacterial large subunit ribosomal RNA". The record is from RNAcentral. Lineage: Bacteria; Pseudomonadati; Pseudomonadota; Gammaproteobacteria; Enterobacterales; Enterobacteriaceae.